Molecule: ribosomal RNA, 319 nt
Filed under: uncultured eukaryote
Lineage: Eukaryota
Description: partial 18S ribosomal RNA
Rfam family: Eukaryotic small subunit ribosomal RNA
Source: RNAcentral
CCCUUAGACGUUCUGGGCCGCACGCGCGCUACACUGACGGAGCCAGCGAGUAUAAACCUUGGCCGAGAGGUCUGGGAAAUCUUGUGAAACUCCGUCGUGCUGGGGAUAGAGCAUUGUAAUUAUUGCUCUUCAACGAGGAAUUCCUAGUAAGCGCAAGUCAUCAGCUUGCGUUGAUUACGUCCCUGCCCUUUGUACACACCGCCCGUCGUUCCUACUGAUUGGGUGAUCCGGUGAGCUGUUCGGCCAUAGCAAUGUUUCUUGAGCAGGGCAAUGAAUGUUUCGCAAACCUUGGCACUUAGAGGAAGGAGAAGUCGUAACA